Molecule: non-coding RNA, 22 nt
Filed under: Rattus norvegicus (Norway rat)
Lineage: Eukaryota; Metazoa; Chordata; Mammalia; Rodentia; Muridae
Source: RNAcentral
UGAUAGGAUUGGGGGCUGUGUU